Non-coding RNA from Heterocephalus glaber (naked mole-rat), 2411 nucleotides. Lineage: Eukaryota; Metazoa; Chordata; Mammalia; Rodentia; Bathyergidae. The record is from RefSeq and is a predicted model, not a curated record.
UUUGGGAGACGGGUCCCCAUGCCGCUGCCUGCCUGCUAGCCGGGGCGCAGACGGGGCGGGCUCGGGAGAGUCCAGGCCCUUGGCCCGAGCCAGGGUGCGCCCGACUCGGCUGGAGGGAGGAUUUCUGGCUCGCGCCCCGGAUCCGGUGGCCCUCGCAGCCCUGACCCGACUUGCAACCGGCUAGUUUCGGUGCCAGACAAGCAAGGGUUUGCCAAGCUUGCAAGUUCCAAAGACGAAGCCCUCGCGUGUGCCAGGAGGCAAGCGGAGGAGCCAGGUGCCCGGCCACGGCCGAGCCCGGGUGUGCUGGCCCCCUCGCAGCAUCCUGUGUCUCGUGUCUCGGCGGCCCUGCAAACUGGGGAAACUGAGGAAAGGGCAACAGCAUCCUGGGCCGGGUGACACGCGGCCCCCACGAGCUUCUCCUCUGCUGGCUGCAGGUUCCGGCUGCACCGCUGGAGAAACCGGAACCCCGUGGGGCAGCUAGGCCAGGAGAGCAGUUCCCGGGAAGGGCAUCGAGCGGGCCCUGGGGCCAGAGGGCUUGGCCCGAGGCCCGGAGCAGCCCGCAGCACCCGCACAGGGAGAGGCCCCGCCCCGCAGGGGAUCUGAGGGAUCGAUCGCAUCUCCUCCCUGCCCCCUCCCACCCACUCAGCAAACAGCCCGCCAUCCUGGUUCUGUGGCCGAGGUGCAGCUCACAGGAUGGACAACUGUGGGCCACGAGGGAGAAGCAGCAAAACCGCUUCCAGCAGCCAGUCACCAGUUCAUCACCCUGUGAGACUCCCCAGACCAGGAAACCUCGAUAGUGGCCUCUCACCCCAGAGCAAAAUGUCCACUGCAGCAGCCCCAGGCCGGUCCCUCCGCUGCCCUCCAGGUCCUAGGCUCCUCCCGAGUUCCCUGUGUCUGUUCCCGCGAGACCACUGUGGAGAUUUAGUUUGCUUCUCAAGCCUCUAAGAGUUAAGAACAAGGUGACCCAAAUCCUGAGAGGUAAAAAUGUAUUGAUUUUUAUCACAUCAGCAUGUUAUGAUAUGGUCACACCUGCUCAUAUAGCUGACUUCUGAGAGCCAAAAGAUGAUUUUCUUUUUUCUUUAAAAAUACAGUUUUCAGUAGGAAGAGACAUUUUAAAAACAUACAUUUUCACACUGAGGGGGAAUUAUAAACAGUGGCUUCCCCCAACUCAUGAGGAGCAGGGCUGGUCAGCAACAGAUCUCUGAGGGCUUCGAUUUGUUUUCCGGCCUUGGCCCCAUCUGUUCUGUCCUCCACAGAAAGUACUUCCGGGGAACAGAGCCUCACUACCACAGCAGCCUACAUCCAGGGAGAGAAAGAGGUAGACUGAACUGGAAUGAGUUAAAUUAUUUGGCAGAGUGUGCAAGGUAAAUUAACACAUUUAAAAAUUUCCAUGGGAUCAAACAUACUUGACAAUCAGGUAACUAAACACUCAAUGCUUGAAAUUCGUAAAACAAAAUCUUAGUGAUGCUUAGACCAUGGUUGCUUAGCUUUGAAAGAUGAAAACAUAAAAGCCAACUUUAGAAACCAUAAUCUUCCCUUGUACUUUAGGAAAGCUUGUUCUUGUCAGAUUUCUUCAAAAUCAAAAGAUCACUCGGUAGGUAGGAUGGAUCUUAAUCCUUUUCCCACCCCUUAAAGUUCCCACCAACGUCAAUAAUAGAGGUUUUCGCAGACCUAUGGCUAAACUGUGAGUUUAUUCAACAUUAAUAAUUAAACAGCUUAAAACAAAAUAAAAAGAACCAGGGCAGUGGUAUGCUGGAGACAGCUACUCCUGGCUCCUAGGAGCCAGUCAUUCAUUUUGUAAUUUUCCAGCAGCUGUCAAACAAUUGUUAUUAAAUUAUAUUAACUUGAAUUACUGCUGAAGCUAAAAAGUGGUUUUGUUUUGUUUUUGGUACCGGGGAUCAAACUCAGGACCUUGUGCUUGCGAGGCAGGUGCCGGAACCACUGAGCUAAAUCCCCAGCCCUAAAAAGUGGUUUUGUACAAGAGUAAGAAGAGCUUGGGACUGGGGACAUAGCUCAGUGGUAGAGCUAGUGUACGUGAAGCCCCAGGUACAAUCCCCAGCCCCAAGAAACACAGCUUAAAAGAUCAUGUAUUAGACUGACAGUGAGUUCACCGGGAGAUGAGUGAGUGGAUUAGGAGGUGACACCGUCAUUCAAAUCAUGGUUGAAAUACAACCAAAGGUCAGCUGUAAGGUUCAGAAAAAAGAAUCAGGUAUCUGAGGAGAAUCAACUGGCUAUGUGGAAUUUACAAUAAAAUAUUUAUAUUUUAUUAUUGUUAAUUGUGUUACACAACCUUAUCAGGAAGAUUUGUAACAACCUCAUGUGCAUGUGUACACACAGCUUCUUCCAGGCCAGCGGACGGCUAAGCGCUGCACACCGCGGGCAGGGAGGGUGAGGGCGGGGAGGAAACCCUU